UACAGAGGGUGCGAGCGUUAAUCGGAAUUACUGGGCGUAAAGCGUGCGUAGACGGCUAUCUAAGUCGGGUGUGAAAGCCCCGGGCUCAACCUGGGAAUUGCAUUCGAGACUGAAUAGCUAGGGUACGGUAGAGGGAAGCGGAAUUUCCGGUGUAGCGGUGAAAUGCGUGGAUAUCGGAAGGAACAUCAGUGGCGAAAGCGGCUUCCUGGACCAGUACCGACGUUCAGGCACGAAAGCGUGGGGAGCAAACAGG
This 253-nucleotide ribosomal RNA is filed under the name uncultured bacterium. RNAcentral describes it as "partial 16S ribosomal RNA". It matches the Rfam family "Bacterial small subunit ribosomal RNA", at positions 524 to 776 of the family's 1533-position model. The record is from RNAcentral.